UACGUAGGGCGCAAGCGUUGUCCGGAUUUAUUGGGUUUAAAGGGUGCGUAGGCGGCUUUGUAAGUCAGUGGUGAAAUAUGGCAGCUUAACUGUCAAGGUGCCAUUGAUACUGCGGAGCUUGAGUACAGAUGAGGUAGGCGGAAUUGACGGUGUAGCGGUGAAAUGCUUAGAUAUCGUCAAGAACACCUAUAGCGAAGGCAGCUUACUAGGCUGUAACUGACGCUGAGGCACGAAAGUGUGGGGAUCAAACAGG
This 253-nucleotide ribosomal RNA is filed under the name uncultured bacterium. RNAcentral's name for it is "partial 16S ribosomal RNA". It matches the Rfam family "Bacterial small subunit ribosomal RNA", at positions 524 to 776 of the family's 1533-position model. The record is from RNAcentral.